Molecule: ribosomal RNA, 264 nt
Filed under: uncultured bacterium
Lineage: Bacteria
Description: partial 16S ribosomal RNA
Rfam family: Bacterial small subunit ribosomal RNA
Source: RNAcentral
AUGGGUGGAUACAGAGGGCCGGGCCGCUGGCAACAUCGGUCCAAUCCUUAAAGUCAUCCUCAGUUCGGACUGGGGUCUGCAACCCGACCCCACGAAGCUGGAUUCGCUAGUAAUCGCGCAUCAGCCAUGGCGCGGUGAAUACGUUCCCGGGCCUUGUACACACCGCCCGUCAAGCCAUGAAAGCCGGGGGCGCCUGAAGUCCGUGACCGCGAGGGUCGGCCUAGGGUGAAACCGGUGAUUGGGGCUAAGUCGUAACAAGGUAUC